GUAACUGUCUUUGCAUCACGGACGGCGAGUAGGAGACAUGCAAACCACCACUUUUUCAGCGUAAUUCUUAAUUUUCAAAUUUAAACCAACCUUAACUCGACAUUGUAUUUAUCUCUGAGACAAUCUCAAUUUUUCUGUUAUCUAUGAAUCCUACAAGGUUAGUGGUGGUAUCACGUUAUUGAUUUUAUUAUUUAGAAAAAUAAGUCGAUUACAGAAUAAACGAUGAUACGAGUCAGUGGACAGGGGCAACAACCAGUUUUCAAUGAAGAAAAAAGGAAGAGUCGGGAAAUAGUUGUUGCUAAUGUGACGUCUUUUAUUGUGCUCGUUGGCAUAAUCAGGCUUGUUCCGUACGCGCUGAAGCAGUUCCAGUAGCCGCACUGCGCGCGCCUGCAGUUCGGAGAGAAGUCCCUGUUCAGCAUGCUGUCGUAUCGUAACUUAACCAUGUGACCACAAUGUGGUUCAUUUUGUGAAUUUUUUUUAUUAAAAAUAAUUUACUAAAAUAUCUGA
Bacillus rossius redtenbacheri is the source of this 507-nucleotide long non-coding RNA. RefSeq lists it as uncharacterized. The record is from RefSeq and is a predicted model, not a curated record. NCBI's taxonomy places the organism in Eukaryota, Metazoa, Arthropoda, Insecta, Phasmatodea, Bacillidae. The transcript has 2 exons.